AUUAUACUCCCUCCAUCUUGAAAUACUUGUCGAAGAAAUGCAUAAAAAUGAAUGUAUUUAGAACUAAAAUACGUCUAUAUACAUCCAUUUCCUCCGACAAGUAUUUCCGGACGGAGGGAGUACUUG
This is a non-coding RNA of Triticum aestivum (bread wheat), 126 nucleotides long. Lineage: Eukaryota; Viridiplantae; Streptophyta; Magnoliopsida; Poales; Poaceae. The record is from Rfam.